This 482-nucleotide ribosomal RNA is filed under the name uncultured bacterium. RNAcentral's name for it is "bacterial SSU rRNA". It matches the Rfam family "Bacterial small subunit ribosomal RNA", at positions 28 to 534 of the family's 1533-position model. The record is from RNAcentral.
GACUAACGCUGGCGGCGUGCCUAAUACAUGCAAGUCGAACGGGAUUCUUUGAUCAGCUUGCUGAGAGAAGGAUCUAGUGGCGGACGGGUGAGUAACGCGUGGGAAUCUGCCUCUUACUGGGGGAUAACAGUGGGAAACUACUGCUAAUACCGCAUAAGAUCUUCGGAUGAAAGGUGCAACUGCACCGGUAAGAGAUGAGCCCGCGUCCCAUUAGCUAGUUGGUGAGGUAAAGGCUCACCAAGGCGACGAUGGGUAGCCGGCCUGAGAGGGUGAACGGCCACACUGGGACUGAGACACGGCCCAGACUCCUACGGGAGGCAGCAGUAGGGAAUCUUAGGCAAUGGACGAAAGUCUGACCUAGCGACGCCGCGUGAGGGAAGAAGGCCUCGGUUGUAACUCCGUCAUGGGAAGAAGUAAGUGACGGUACCCAACGAGGAAGCCCUCGCUAACUACGUGCCAGCAGCCGCGGUAAGAGUAGUACA